AUACGAAGGGGGCUAGCGUUGUUCGGAAUCACUGGGCGUAAAGCGCACGUAGGCGGAUUGAUCAGUUAGGGGUGAAAUCCCGAGGCUCAACCUCGGAACUGCCUUUAAUACUGUCAGUCUAGAGACCGGAAGAGGUGAGUGGAACUCCUAGUGUAGAGGUGGAAUUCGUAGAUAUUAGGAAGAACACCAGUGGCGAAGGCGGCUCACUGGUCCGGUACUGACGCUGAGGUGCGAAAGCGUGGGGAGCGAACAGGAUUAGAAACCCUAGUAGUCC
RNAcentral lists this ribosomal RNA (274 nucleotides) under uncultured bacterium. RNAcentral's name for it is "partial 16S ribosomal RNA". It matches the Rfam family "Bacterial small subunit ribosomal RNA", at positions 523 to 796 of the family's 1533-position model. The record is from RNAcentral.